Molecule: ribosomal RNA, 253 nt
Filed under: uncultured bacterium
Lineage: Bacteria
Description: partial 16S ribosomal RNA
Rfam family: Bacterial small subunit ribosomal RNA
Source: RNAcentral
UACGUAGGGUGCGAGCGUUGUCCGGAAUUAUUGGGCGUAAAGAGCUCGUAGGCGGUCUGUCGCGUCGGCUGUGAAAACCCGAGGCUCAACCUCGGGCCUGCAGUCGAUACGGGCAAACUAGAGUACUGCAGGGGAGACUGGAAUUCCUGGUGUAGCGGUGAAAUGCGCAGAUAUCAGGAGGAACACCGGUGGCGAAGGCGGGUCUCUGGGCAGUAACUGACGCUGAGGAGCGAAAGCGUGGGGAGCGAACAGG